RNAcentral lists this long non-coding RNA (4903 nucleotides) under Sus scrofa (pig). RNAcentral describes it as "lncRNA (ENSSSCG00000052254.1)". The record is from RNAcentral. Lineage: Eukaryota; Metazoa; Chordata; Mammalia; Artiodactyla; Suidae.
GACCAGCAGAAGGGAGAGGUAAGGCCCGGAGGAUGGACUGGCUAGGAGUUAAAGGAAGUUAGAGCACUGAGAGGGGAGGUGGGCCGGAACCACCAAAAGGCCUCAAAUGCCCUGUGGAAAGAAUCAGGACUUUGCCACAGGUACUAGGGAGCCAUGGAAAGUUUUCCAGCAGGAGGGUGAGAGCAUCAGUGCAGCUAUGAUUUUAGGGUGAUGAGCCCACCUUCAGAUCAGGGUGGGACUAAAGAUCUAACCUCCAAGGCAGAGCCCGCCAGGCCCCCUACUCCACCCCCUGGGGGUACCUGGGGCUGGGCAGUGUCUCAGUGGGGCACCUGAGGUGGGGGAGGAGGACGAUAAGCACAUGGGUGCAGCACAUAAGGGGAAAUGGAGGCAGAGAAAGAGGGUCACUGGCUUGCUCAGGGCCACAGGACAGGCAAGUUCCAGGGCUGGGAUUUGAACCCAGGCAGUCUGGCUCCAAGGCCCUCAUGGUUUUUUUUCUUUUUUGCUUUUUAGGGCCACACCCAUGGCAUAUGGAAGUUCCCAGGCUAGGGGUCUAAUCAGAGCUACAGCCACAGGCCUAUGCCACAGCCACAGCAACACGGGAUCUGAGCCAUGUCUGCAACCUACACCACAGCUCAUGGUAACACCAGAUCCCCAACCCACUGGGCGAGACCAGUGAUUGAACCUGCAUCCUCAUGUAUUCUAGUCCAGUUGGUUAACCAUUGAGCCGCGAAGGGAACUCCACAAAGCCCUCAUCUUUUUUUAUUUUUUAUUUUAUUUAUUUAUUUAUUUAUUUAUUUUGUCUUUUUGCUAGUUCUUUGGGCCACUUCUGCGGCAUAUGGAGGUUCCCAAGCUAGGGGUCUAAUCGGAGCUGUAGCCGCUGGCCUACGCCAGGGCCACAGCAAUGCGGGAUCCGAGCCGCGUCUGCAACCUACACCACAGCUCGCGGCAACGCCGGAUCAUUAACCCACUGAGCAAGGCCAGGGACCGAACCCGCAACCUCAUGGUUCCUAGUCGGAUUCGUUAACCACUGCGCCACGACGGGAACUCUCAAGGCCCUCAUCUUUAAGCCCUUUACAGGAAGGGCUUCUGCCUUCAGUACCAAGCUCCAGCCCUAAAGCAGCUCACUUAGACUCAGCCUCCCUAUUGUCCUUAACACCUCCCAGGUAUUAGCUGAUCCCCUCCCCUGUCACCCCCAGCAGCCCCUGGGCCAUCCAGCCUCUGGGUCCAGCCAAAGCCUUUCUGCAAUUAAAUAGGCUCUAGUGGACACACACAUAUACACACACACACACACACACACACAUCACUUGCUUGGUGCCCAUUAUGGGCUGAACUGUGUUACCCCAAAAUUUAUACAUUGAAAUCCUAACCCCUAGGACCUCAGCACGUGACUGUAUUUGGAGACAAGGUCAUUAAGGAGGUAAUUAAGCUAAAAUGAGGUCAUGAGGGUGGGCUGUAAUCCAAUAUGACUGGUGUCCUUAUAAGAAGAGGAGAUUAGGACAGAGACACGCACAGAGGGGAGACAUGUGAGGACACGGGGAGAAAGCAGCCAUCUGCAAGCCAAGGAGAAGAAAUCAAUCCUGCAGACACCUUGUCUCAGACUUAUCUCCAGCCUCCAGAAGUGUGAAAAAAUAAGUUCUUGUUGUUUGAGCCACCUAAUCUGUGGUACAUUGUGAUGGCAGCCCCAGCAAACUCCACAUUGCCCAUGAGACAAGCUUCCCCAGGUCCAGAACUUCAAUAGUCAGGGAUCUUUGGUCUGUAAAUGACAAAAUAAACAAAUACUUGAUUCAGACUAGCUUAAACAGAAAGGGAGCUGUUGUAACAAAAUCUAUGGCUUCAGGCAUAGUUCAAUCCAGGUGCUCAAAUCAUAACAAGAUCAUCUGCUUUCCUCUCUAUUAAUUCCAUUCGCUGGGGUUGGGGGGCUUCCCACAUGGUGAUUAGAUAGCUCCUAGGAAGACCAGGUUUCUAUCAGCUCAGUAACCCUAGAGAAAGUGUGUCAUUGUCCCCCUAAAUUCAGCAAAUGUUCAGGAGUUCAUGCUGAUUGGACCAACUUGGGUCAUGUUGGGUGGCCUCAAGCCAAGCACUGAAGCCAGAGGUUCAGAAUCCCCUGAUUGGCCAGCCCCGGGUAUUUUUGAUUGGGCUCCUCCAGAUAGACACCCUGAGGCAAAAAUGAGGGCCUUACUGUGUGGGCAACUGGAGCUCAUUGGGGGCCUCUAGGAUACCAUGUAGAGCAUGCCUUGGAGUUAUCUCAAGACAGGGACAAGGGAGCUGCAGUAUUUGUCACUGACUUCCCAUUUAUAAAGGCUAAGGGCUGCAAUAAUUCUCCUGUCUUCUGGCCUGCUCUGCCCAUGGCUAAGUGAGCUCUAGCACUCACAAAGUACCAUCAGAGAGAUGGCUGCAAAUGUUCUCAGUAGGCAGUCAGCUCAAGAGGAUACAGGUGGGGUUGCUCCAUGGAAUCUCAGCCUCCCUCCCUGGAGCCCUGCCUGAACCUCAUGAGCCAAAAGCAUGACAAGGGAGCGCCCCCAACCCCCCGGCCCCAGGAAAAUCUAAGUGAAGGGAGGGUGCAGGAGAGGCUGUAAAAGCAAAAAAUUGUCUAAAUGGAGUCAGUUUCCCUUCAUUCUUCCCAUGAAUGUCAUAUGUUCCUAAUGGCUGCCUCCUGAUAUUUCCCUCAAAUUUUCCAAGACCUUCAGGCCCCUUAUCAGUUGAAAGGGGUGAUCAUGCUUUCAAACUAUACAGAGAGGACCAGGGGGUGGGAAUAGAAGGGGCCAUUCUGCUCUUGCUUCUGUAGCUGCCACAAGGUGGCGCUGCUGAACAAUGGUCUUGCACAGUCUUGUCUGCUUUCCCCUGGCUUGUCUUCACUAAGCCAAAUUCUUGCACAGAACCCAGUCGAACUCCAACGUGGGUCCCCAAGGUUAGAGUCACUUGGCUUUUACUUAUGAGUGAGUUCAGGCCUCAAUCACCAGGACAGGGAAAGUGAAUGAGCCAGGACUUCCAGCCUCCAUCACAUUUUACAUUAGAACCAAACAGCUUCUUCCCCCAACCCUCCCUCCCACUUCCUUUAGAACUAAGUUCCCACUGGGACACCGCUGAAUAUCCUUGCCUUUUUUUUUUUUUUUUUUUUUGGUCUUUUUAGGGCCACACCCACGGCAUAUGGACAUUCCCAGGCUACAGGUCGAAUCAGAGCUGCAGCUGCUGGCCACAGCCACAGCAACACCAGAUCCGAGCUGCACCUGCAACCUAUGCCACAGCUCACAGCAACACAAGAUCCUUAACCCACUGAGCAAGGCCAGGGAUCUUACCCACAUCUUCCUGGAUACUAGUCGGGUUCAUAACCUGCUAAGCCAUAACGGGAACUCCCCUUGCCCACCUCUAUACCUCCCUUGGAGCCACCUCUACCUAUCAGAGAACCUCAGAAGGGAAGGAAAAGGAACAUCAAUCCCUUUGCUCCCAUGAGUUCCACCUCAUCUCCACCAGCCCACUCUGCACACCAAGGAGUUUGGGGAUAGGUGUAUUAGUCAGCAAUCACUGCAUAACAAGUUCCCAGUCCCAGCAGCUUAACCUAACACUCAUUUAUUAUCUCAGUUUCUGUGGAUCAAGAGUCUAGACAGUGCUUAGCGGGUCCAACAUGCUACGGGUUUCCUGCAAGACUGCAACCAAGGUGUCAGCUGAGGCCACAGCCAUCUGUAGGUUCAACUGGAACCAGAUCUGUCUGCAUGUUCAAGAGGCCUUGCACACUUCCACUCACUUUCUUGGAGCCUAGCUGCCAUGCACGUAACCCCAGGCUGGUCUGCCAGGACAGCAUCCCUGCUCUUCAUGGAAGAAAGCCCAAUUGUCCCAGCCAACAGCCAGCUGACCCUCACAUGAGGGAGCCCAGCCAAGAUUCGCUGAGCCGCCUGCAACCCCAAGUUGAGUGCAGAGGCAGGAAUGAGUCUGGAUGAGAUCAGAAGAAUCACCUGGCUCAUCAGCAGACUCCUGAACCCCAAGAAAGGCUUAGUGCUUUCAGCCCUUGGAUUGGGGGCUGGUUUGACAAAUCCAAUCUGUGACAGCACCAUCAUCACCAUUCUGCCACGACCACGGGCACCCACUUAAAUAUGAAUAAAACCAGGAGGAAUCAUUCAACUGACUCUCUCCCUAAAUAAAGAAGUUCUACUUCACGGACUUUAGCUGUCUCGACUCUACAAAGGAAAUGCGGCUGGCAGCUUCUCCUGAUUAAAAAAUGUCAAGUUCCACCUCGCCAGGCAUCUCAAUACCCUCCUUUUCCAUCCACCUUCCCAGGAAGGCUCAGGAGGGUGGGGAGGCUCUUUUAGGCUUGCGGACUGGACCAGAGUUCCCAGGGCCACUCGGCUGCCCAAAAUGGGACCCCCUGCCCGCCCUGCUCGUCCUGGCUGCUUGCUACAGAUGUCUCCUGAGGAUCUGCUGGCCUUUUCUUUACAAUGCCCAAGACCUACUCAAGAAGAAGAAGCCAUGCUGAAUGGAGGAUGGCAGAACUGGCUUUGGGAAGCCUCAAACCUCAGCACCUGCAGCCGGGGAGCAACAUGUGUUGCAGAUUUGGCCAUGACCUUGAGCUUGUCACUGUCCAGGAACCCUUGGCAAAGAAAUGACAUCCCUCUGUCUACUUCCCUGACCCAUCCCUAAGUCCCCUAAACCGCCUCCAAGGUCUGGCUUCUGACAGCACUGCCCAGACCUGCCCCCAGCAUCUCCAUUCUCACUGGUCGAUGUCACAGCUGUACCUGUAAAUAAAUACAGUUACUCUCACCCCAGAAAGCAAGGAUUCUCAGCUGAAGAGCUCAGUGGUCAAGAGCAGAACCUCUAGAAUCAGGGACCUCCCUGGUGGUCUAAGUAGUUAGGACUGGCCAUUUUUGCCAUUGUGGCCUGAGAUCCCACAUCAAGCAUCUACAUGCUGCAG